Pristis pectinata (smalltooth sawfish) is the source of this 73-nucleotide non-coding RNA. Lineage: Eukaryota; Metazoa; Chordata; Chondrichthyes; Rhinopristiformes; Pristidae. The record is from the annotation of a RefSeq genome assembly.
GGUUCCAUGGGUGUAAUGGUGAGCACUCUGGACUCUGAAUCCAGCGAUCCGAGUUCAAAUCUCGGUGGAACCG